GCGGAUGUGGCGGAAUUGGCAGACGCGUUAGAUUCAGGUUCUAAUGGCCACUAGGCUGUGCAGGUUCAAGUCCUGUCAUCCGCA
Molecule: transfer RNA, 84 nt
Filed under: Parasporobacterium paucivorans DSM 15970
Lineage: Bacteria; Bacillati; Bacillota; Clostridia; Lachnospirales; Lachnospiraceae
Rfam family: tRNA
About the family: Transfer RNA (tRNA) molecules are approximately 80 nucleotides in length. Their secondary structure includes four short double-helical elements and three loops (D, anti-codon, and T loops). Further hydrogen bonds mediate the characteristic L-shaped molecular structure. tRNAs have two regions of fundamental functional importance: the anti-codon, which is responsible for specific mRNA codon recognition, and the 3' end, to which the tRNAs corresponding amino acid is attached (by aminoacyl-tRNA synthetases). tRNAs cope with the degeneracy of the genetic code in two manners: having more than one tRNA (with a specific anti-codon) for a particular amino acid; and 'wobble' base-pairing, i.e. permitting non-standard base-pairing at the 3rd anti-codon position.
Source: Rfam by way of RNAcentral